Molecule: long non-coding RNA, 1494 nt
Filed under: Piliocolobus tephrosceles (Ugandan red Colobus)
Lineage: Eukaryota; Metazoa; Chordata; Mammalia; Primates; Cercopithecidae
Description: lncRNA (ENSPTEG00000010849.1)
Source: RNAcentral
GUAACAUAUACAAUGUGAUUUAUAUUUUUGUUAUUAUGUGUUUAUUAUAAAUUUUGUCCGUUAAAAAAUGCAAUGUAUUGAUUUAUCACAUCAUUAUUUAAAUAUGUAAUAAAAAAAAUAAUACAUAUAUAUAUAUAUAUAUAUAUAUAUAUAUAUAUAUAUAUUUUUAAAGCAUUGUAUUAUACUUCGUAAAGAAUCUGUGUAUGUUGCAAUUGAAUAUGUGAUAACAUUUUGUGCUCGUUUAAUACAUAUUGUUAAAUAAAAUGCAUUUGUAAUAUUAUACUUUUUUACUUUAUUUAUAUAUUCAAAAAAAAAAAAAAACACAAUUUAACAUUUAUAAUAUUAUAAUUUUUUACUUACUUUAUUUAUAUAAUCGAAAAAAAAACACAAUUUUGCAUUUAUAAUAUUAUACUUUUUUUACUUUAUUUAUAUAAUCGAAAAAAAACAGAAUUUAACACAAUGGCAGAAGGAAAUCCAUUAGCAAAUGCAAAUGUACCACUAAAUUUGAGUGAUACACAAAAUCUGAGCAAUGGCGAAUCCUCUGUAAUGCAACUUGCGAGAAGCAUUUUAAACACACCUCUAAAUACUACUAGUAAUGAAGAAUUGAACCACGGAAAUAUGACGGUUUUUUUUUUAUUUUUGGCAGUUCUUAUAAUUUUUAUGUAUACAUAUCUAAUUGUUUUACGUUGCCUAGAUCGAUUUUUUUAUGGACAACACAAUGGAAACAAUAUGCCAGUUUUAUUUAAUAGAAAUGGUGGGCAAAACGGAGGAGGAGGAGAGGGAAAUGCUCUACUACCUGAGGAUUUUUAUGAUCGUCAUAGAGGAUAAUAAAAUGGACAUUUCUAAGCAUACAGUAAACAUAAUGAUGUAUUUAAUUAACAUUUUGUUAUAAAUGUCACUACUAAAAAUGAAACUUGACAAACCAACAUGAUCGUACAUUAAUAUCAGGAAAGGACAACAGUUUAUACAAAAACUUAUAAGUAUAUAGUAGUGAUACAUCAAAUUAGCAAUUUUUAUAUUAUAUUAGUACAUGCAAAGUUUUGUAAAAAAAAAAAAAAAAAAAAAAAAAAAAUUAUAUGAAUAUUGGAUAUAAUUGUGGUUUAUUAUGUUUGCUCAUGGUUAUUAUUACAGGAAUGUUUGAUCAUUUUGUGUUGAUUAUAGUUUCACUUUGUGAAUAUAUGUCCAGCACAAAAUUAUCAUUAUUUUAAAUAGUUUUUUUUUAUUUUUAUAUUUUAUUUUUGCUGUGUUUGAAUUUGUUAGGAUUGUUGUUCACUAAUUUAAUUUUUGCAUCAAUUGAAGGUGAGUUCAUUUAUGUUCUAUUUUAUUUUAUUUUAUUAUUUUUUUUUUUUUUUCUAUGCUACAUUAAUUGAGUUGUGCCAUUUUACAUAUGUUGAAAUGUAUAAUUAAAUGUGAUAACUUUUUUUUUUUUUUUUUCGUUUUGCUUUUUACAUAUAAAAACAAAACUUAUGGUUAUAUAUUAUAAAUAGACGCGAU